UUUACUCCUUUUGGAAUAAGUUAAUAUGAAAUAGUACAUAACAUAAAACUAGUGAACAUAAAUUUGUACAAAAUCAUAGACACCAAUUGAAGUAAUUUCAACAAUAUUAUUUUCUUUUUUCACGAUAUUGUUGAUUCUAAUUUCAGAACAUCAAGCAAUGCAUCCUUGUUUCAGUAAUAUUCCAACAAUCUGUCAAAUGGAUAGAUUUAAUGAAAAUAAGUAGCCGAAUUUGGGAAUCUAACAUUUUAGAUAUGAAAGGAGUAUUAGAAGGAGAAGGAUAACGAGGAAGAUUCAUUCAAGUCAUUUUCUCCCUCUUUGAUCCUACAUAAGCUUGACAUUAUCACAAAU
Molecule: long non-coding RNA, 348 nt
Filed under: Olea europaea (common olive)
Lineage: Eukaryota; Viridiplantae; Streptophyta; Magnoliopsida; Lamiales; Oleaceae
Description: long non-coding RNA (OEUR_LNC003868)
Source: RNAcentral